UGGACUCAAUACUGUAAGUCACUCUGGCUAAGAGUGUCUGCUAAAUUACUGAAA
This is a non-coding RNA of Salmo salar (Atlantic salmon), 54 nucleotides long. Lineage: Eukaryota; Metazoa; Chordata; Actinopteri; Salmoniformes; Salmonidae. The record is from Rfam.